Molecule: long non-coding RNA, 543 nt
Filed under: Capsicum annuum
Lineage: Eukaryota; Viridiplantae; Streptophyta; Magnoliopsida; Solanales; Solanaceae
Description: long non-coding RNA (CANN_LNC012767)
Source: RNAcentral
CUAUUCUUACCAUUGCUGUUAAUUUAUCUUCUAAUUUUAAUUCUUCUUUUUCUAACAUUAGAUAUAAAUGUUCACCUAUUUUCUUAUAUCUUCUUCCUAGAUUAGAAAAUACUAUUUUUAUUUUUGAUCCUUCGUAGUUUUCAUAUAUUUUUUCAUCUAUUAUAAAUUCUUCUUUGUUCAUUUUAUUGUGAAUAGUUCAUGUUGAUAUAUAUAUUCUAAACUAUCUAUUUGUGAUUCUAAUUUUGAUAUUUCAUCUUUUUGUGUAUCUAUUGAGUUUUCAUUAACUCCGGUAAAUAUAUUAUAAUGUAGUCUUUUUAUUCUUAUUUUUAAUUCUUUACGUUUUUCAGAAAUAAUUUAUUUUAAUUCUUUGUAUUGUUGUACUUUAUUCAUUUUAAAUUAUAUUUAUAAUAUCUUGGCGGAUAUCUAAAUCUAAUUUUAUCAUAAUUAGGUGAUAUGUGUUUCAUUCUUCUAGAUUUUAAAUGGAUUAUUAAUUUUGAUUCAAUACUAGAUAUUAAUGUAAUUAAGUAGGCUAAUCUUUGUGGG